Molecule: ribosomal RNA, 481 nt
Filed under: uncultured bacterium
Lineage: Bacteria
Description: partial 16S ribosomal RNA
Rfam family: Bacterial small subunit ribosomal RNA
Source: RNAcentral
GAUGAACGCUGGCGGCGUGCUUAACACAUGCCAGUCGAACGAAGCAUUUAGGACAGAUUACUUCGGUUUGAAGUUCUUUAUGACUGAGUGGCGGACGGGUGAGUAACGCGUGGGUAACCUGCCUUGUACUGGGGGAUAGCAGCUGGAAACGGCUGGUAAUACCGCAUAAGCGCACAAUGUUGCAUGACAUGGUGUGAAAAACUCCGGUGGUAUAAGAUGGACCCGCGUCUGAUUAGCUAGUUGGUGAGAUAACAGCCCACCAAGGCGACGAUCAGUAGCCGACCUGAGAGGGUGACCGGCCACAUUGGGACUGAGACACGGCCCAGACUCCUACGGGAGGCAGCAGUGGGGAAUAUUGCACAAUGGAGGAAACUCUGAUGCAGCGACGCCGCGUGAGUGAAGAAGUAAUUCGUUAUGUAAAGCUCUAUCAGCAGGGAAGAUAGUGACGGUACCUGACGAAGAAGCUCCGGCUAAAUACGUG